UUUGGUAGGGCCUUGUCUUGAUUGCUGAGAUGACUGAUCACAAUGUGAAAUGUCUCUUGAGUCCUUGGUCAUCUUGGCUACUUGGAUUGUAUCACCUGGUUCACUUAGCUUAUACCAUGAGGCAAUUGAUGCAUCCUAUAAUAAAAAGAACAUUUGAAAGAAACCAUCUAUAUUAUUUGAUCUUCCUUAUUGGUAUAAACUAGAUGUAAGACACUGCAUAAUGUGAUGCAUGUGGAGA
Molecule: long non-coding RNA, 238 nt
Filed under: Phaseolus vulgaris (common bean)
Lineage: Eukaryota; Viridiplantae; Streptophyta; Magnoliopsida; Fabales; Fabaceae
Description: long non-coding RNA (PVUL_LNC003595)
Source: RNAcentral